UACCAACCCGAUGCAAACUGCGAAUACCGAAGAGUAAUGCAUAGGAGACACACGGUGGGUGCUAACGUCCAUCGUGGAGAGGGAAACAACCCAGACCGCCAGCUAAGGUCCCAAAGUCUAUAUUAAGUGGGAAACGAAGUGGGAAGGCUUAGACAGCUAGGAUGUUGGCUUAGAAGCAGCCAUCAUUUAAAGAAAGCGUAAUAGCUCACUAGUCGAGUCGGCCUGCGCGGAAGAUGUAACGGGGCUAAAAUAUAGCACCGAAGCUGCGGCAUCAGACGUAUCACUAAUACGCCUUACGAUUAACAACAUCGAAUGAAGUGAAACGGAAAGAGAUGUUGGUCAAGCAACCCGAACGUUGAGUCGGAAAGUAAUCGAAGAGAGGAUUAUUAGUGAUACGUCUGUUGGGUAGGGGAGCGUUGUGUAAGCGGAUGAAGGUGAAUCGAGAGGUUUGCUGGACGUAUCACAAGUGCGAAUGCUGACAUAAGUAACGAUAAAACGAGUGAAAAACUCGUUCGCCGGAAGACCAAGGGUUCCUGUCCAACGUUAAUCGGGGCAGGGUGAGUCGGCCCCUAAGGCGAGGCUGAAAAGCGUAGUCGAUGGGAAACGGGUUAAUAUUCCCGUACUUGGUAAAGCUGCGAUGUGGGGACGGAGAAGGUUAGGUUAGCAGACUGUUGGAUGUCUGUUUAAGUUGGUAGGUGGGGAGUUUAGGCAAAUCCGGACUUCCAUAACACUGAGAGAUGAUGACGAGUUUCUACGGAAAUGAAGUAACUGAUACCACGCUUCCAGGAAAAGCCACUAAGCGAAAGGCUUUACUAAACCGUACUGAAAACCGACACAGGUGGUCAGGUAGAGAAUACUCAGGCGCUUGAGAGAACUCGGGUGAAGGAACUAGGCAAAAUAGCACCGUAACUUCGGGAGAAGGUGCGCUGGCGUAGGUUGUAGGAGUAUACCUCCGAAGGCUGAACCAGUCGAAGAUACCAGCUGGCUGCAACUGUUUAUUAAAAACACAGCACUCUGCAAACACGAAAGUGGACGUAUAGGGUGUGAUGCCUGCCCGGUGCUGGAAGGUUAAUUGAUGGUGUUAUCGAAAGAGAAGCUCCUGAUCGAAGCCCCAGUAAACGGCGGCCGUAACUAUAACGGUCCUAAGGUAGCGAAAUUCCUUGUCGGGUAAGUUCCGACCUGCACGAAUGGCAUAAUGAUGGCCAGGCUGUCUCCACCCGAGACUCAGUGAAAUUGAAAUCGCCGUGAAGAUGCGGUGUACCCGCGGCUAGACGGAAAGACCCCGUGAACCUUUACUAUAGCUUGACACUGAACAUUGAAUUUUGAUGUGUAGGAUAGGUGGGAGCCUAAGAAGCAGUCACGCCAGUGAUUGUGGAGGCGUCCUUGAAAUACCACCCUUUAACGUUUGAUGUUCUAACGAAGAUUGCUAAACGCGGUCUCGGACAGUGUCUGGUGGGUAGUUUGACUGGGGCGGUCUCCUCCCAAAGAGUAACGGAGGAGCACGAAGGUUUGCUAAUCACGGUCGGACAUCGUGAGGUUAGUGCAAUGGUAUAAGCAAGCUUAACUGCGAGACAGACAAGUCGAGCAGGUGCGAAAGCAGGUCAUAGUGAUCCGGUGGUUCUGAAUGGAAGGGCCAUCGCUCAACGGAUAAAAGGUACUCCGGGGAUAACAGGCUGAUACCGCCCAAGAGUUCAUAUCGACGGCGGUGUUUGGCACCUCGAUGUCGGCUCAUCACAUCCUGGGGCUGAAGUAGGUCCCAAGGGUAUGGCUGUUCGCCAUUUAAAGUGGUACGCGAGCUGGGUUUAGAACGUCGUGAGACAGUUCGGUCCCUAUCUGCCGUGGGCGUUGGAGAAUUGAGAGGGGCUGCUCCUAGUACGAGAGGACCGGAGUGGACGCAUCACUGGUGUACCAGUUGUCUCGCCAGAGGCACUGCUGGGUAGCUAAAUGCGGAAGAGAUAAGUGCUGAAAGCAUCUAAGCACGAAACUCGCCUUAAGAUGAGUUCUCCCAGUCUAUAAGACUGUAAGGGUUGUUGGAGACUACGACGUAGAUAGGUCUGGUGUGUAAGCGGUGUGAGCCGUUGAGCUAACAGAUACUAAUUGCCCGAGAGGCUUAACUAUACAACCUCAAGCGUU
This 2133-nucleotide ribosomal RNA is filed under the name Glaesserella parasuis. RNAcentral describes it as "partial 23S ribosomal RNA". It matches the Rfam family "Bacterial large subunit ribosomal RNA", at positions 937 to 2925 of the family's 2925-position model. The record is from RNAcentral. Lineage: Bacteria; Pseudomonadati; Pseudomonadota; Gammaproteobacteria; Pasteurellales; Pasteurellaceae.